This 494-nucleotide ribosomal RNA is filed under the name uncultured bacterium. Its description in RNAcentral is "partial 16S ribosomal RNA". It matches the Rfam family "Bacterial small subunit ribosomal RNA", at positions 28 to 507 of the family's 1533-position model. The record is from RNAcentral.
GACGAACGCUGGCGGCGUGCUUAACACAUGCAAGUCGAACGGUGAAGCGCCUUCCUUUUUGGUGGGUGUGGAUGAGUGGCGAACGGGUGAGUAACACGUGAGUAACCUGCCCCCUUCUUCUGGAUAACCGCAUGAAAGUGUGGCUAAUACGGGAUAUUCUGGGUCUGUCGCAUGAUGGGUCUGGGAAAGAUAUUGUUUCGGUGGGGGAUGGGCUCGCGGCCUAUCAGCUUGUUGGUGGGGUGAUGGCCUACCAAGGCGGUGACGGGUAGCCGGCCUGAGAGGGUGGACGGUCACACUGGGACUGAGACACGACCCAGACUCCUACGGGAGGCAGCAGUGGGGAAUAUGGCACAAUGGGCGCAAGCCUGAUGCAGCGACGCCGCGUGAGGGAUGGAGGCCUUCGGGUUGUGAACCUCUUUCGCCAGUGAAGCAGGCCUGCCUCGUUUGUGGGUGGGUUGACGGUAGCUGGAUAAGAAGCGCCGGCUAACUACGUG